GCUGAAAUUUAUAUAUUUUAUUGAAGUUCAUGGGUUGUGAAACGUUUAAUAAUUGGUGAUUUAAUUUUUAUUCCUUUGGAGUGUACAGUGAAUUUUGUUUGAUUUUGUUCAGAAGAAUUGUAUUAUUCUCGCGAGAAUUUGAGCCUUUUAUGUUGGCCGCAGGUGAGCACGGUCUUUUGCUCACGAGGUUGCAAUAAUUAGGAGUUCAAGCUGGGAGAAAGAGCUGCAAAAAGAAAUACCUUGGACUCAAAGAGACUCUUUUACUUGACAAGCGGAAACGAGUUUUCACGGCGUAAUGAAGGCGUAAUGAAGGCGCAAUGAAAGCGAAGGCACGCAAUGUCCCACAAGAAGUGUGAUGACCUGCAGAAGUACAAAUAAACGCCCGUUGUAAACCGACCUGUGUUGUCAUGAGAAGAGUCACAGUGAAAACUCGACUGCUCCACACGGGGAGGAGACAGGAGACUGCAGCGUGAAGCCCGCUAAGCAGAGCCGAGAGGCACGAGGAAGCCGACGCCCAUUUCCUUACCGCAUGCAGGCAAGCAGAUGAAAAGACUGUCGGAAGCGCAGCUGGUCCAUUGAAUCCCAGAAAGUUAAUUUCCAAAAAGUAAA
This is a long non-coding RNA of Oryzias latipes (Japanese medaka), 609 nucleotides long. RefSeq lists it as uncharacterized. NCBI's taxonomy places the organism in Eukaryota, Metazoa, Chordata, Actinopteri, Beloniformes, Adrianichthyidae. The record is from RefSeq and is a predicted model, not a curated record.